Hydra vulgaris (swiftwater hydra) is the source of this 364-nucleotide long non-coding RNA. RefSeq lists it as uncharacterized. NCBI's taxonomy places the organism in Eukaryota, Metazoa, Cnidaria, Hydrozoa, Anthoathecata, Hydridae. The record is from RefSeq and is a predicted model, not a curated record.
UUCAAAUUUUAUAUGCAGAAUUCCAGUGUUAAGUAAUCAAAGUGUUUGAAAUCAAAAUAAGUCGACUCAAAUAUACUUUAUUGAUAUCACAUUAUUUAAUCUUGGACUCAACUGUUAAACAGUAGAAGAUUUGAACGAGUUUACACUAAGAAUGGAUAAUAAAACUUUUGCACAACAGUUUGCCAACUCUAAUGUGUUGGCGGAAAGUUACAAAAAUAUAUUAAAGAUUUAAUUCAAAGAUAAUGUUGCUAAUCGAUUUACAGUGAAUAAUCUUUCGAAAGCAGAAAAACUCAGUGUCAAACAAAGCAUACGCUAAUUAUUCGAGAUAUGGUCGAAAUUUGCAAAGAAAGUAAAACUCAAUCUA